AUCACAUUAUCAUAUCCUCAACCAAUCAAAUUGUAUCCCUAGGAUUCACCAAUCCUAUUAAAGAUUUUUUUUCAAAAAAAUUUCACUAUACUUUUUUCUUAAAAAAAGAGAUUUGAUUAAUUUGAGACAUAGAUAGAUACUGUCGUACAACCGCAGUAUAGAAAACCACCUCCUAUAGUUGAGCGGAUCUUCAUGCAUGUACGGAUGUCAGUGGGUCGGAUUUUCAAAAGUCCGAACAUGAACUCGACUACCAAACCGAAAAUUCGAACAUGAAUCCGAAUCCAGCGUAUUUUAAAAAUUCAUAUCCAAAUCUGAACCCGACCAAAAAUUCGAAACCCAAACCCAGAAACUCGCACCCGAAACAAGUAUUGCUCUUUAUAAUAUUUCAUAACAUAUUAUAUAAAAUUUAAAAUUUUUAAAUAUAAAUUCAAAUAUAAGAUCACACACACACACACAUCAAAUCCGUCAAAACAAAAUUCAUACGCGAAUCCAAAUCCGUCGAAUUUUUAUUUUUUAUAUCUUUAUUCGAAACUAAAUCUAUUUAGCAUCAUAUAAAAUCUUUUCUACUCGAAUUCAAAUUAAAAUUUAAAUAAAAUUUUAAAUAUCUGUACCCAUCGACAUCUCUAUAUGCU
This 632-nucleotide long non-coding RNA is filed under the name Ananas comosus (pineapple). RNAcentral describes it as "long non-coding RNA (ACOM_LNC009653)". The record is from RNAcentral. Lineage: Eukaryota; Viridiplantae; Streptophyta; Magnoliopsida; Poales; Bromeliaceae.